UCUAAACCUUUCUUGCGAUGUUAGUGAGCGUUUUCGAUGGAUACGGCUACAAUAUCUCAAGUUGUGGUCAUUACAGAUGAAUGAGUUAUGUAAUUCGAACGAUCAUACAUAGAAAUUGAGGGUUUUUAGUUGUUUUCGUAUCUGUUUUUAUCCUUCUGCGCAUUUAGAAGUCAUUUCUGCGUCAAUUUUGAUUUUACUUGAAAAUUUGUCGUGCAUUCCCUAUGAAAUCAUUAGUAUAGUAACAAAAAGCGAUCCAAACAAGAUCCGUCCCACUUUUUUUUUUUWUYUYUUUCUCUUYYUUUCUUUUCUAUUUGUUUCUUUUUUAAUUGUUAAAUGAUAACUUARAAAGGCAUUCGCAAAAUGAGUUAUACUACAAAUAGUGUGCGAAUG
RNAcentral lists this ribosomal RNA (390 nucleotides) under Ribes viscosissimum. The record is from RNAcentral. Lineage: Eukaryota; Viridiplantae; Streptophyta; Magnoliopsida; Saxifragales; Grossulariaceae.